RNAcentral lists this ribosomal RNA (469 nucleotides) under Capnocytophaga gingivalis. Its description in RNAcentral is "bacterial SSU rRNA". It matches the Rfam family "Bacterial small subunit ribosomal RNA", at positions 28 to 497 of the family's 1533-position model. The record is from RNAcentral. Lineage: Bacteria; Pseudomonadati; Bacteroidota; Flavobacteriia; Flavobacteriales; Flavobacteriaceae.
GAUGAACGCUAGCGGCAGGCCUAACACAUGCAAGUCGAGGGAGAAGCCCUUUCGGGGGCAGAAACCGGCGCACGGGUGCGUAACGCGUAUGCAACCUACCUUUCACAGGGGGAUAGCCCGAAGAAACUUGGAUUAAUACCCCAUAAUAUUGUUGGAUGGCAUCAUCUAGCAAUUAAAGCUACGACGGUGGAAGAUGGGCAUGCGUCCUAUUAGCUAGUUGGAGUGGUAACGGCACCCCAAGGCUACGAUAGGUAGGGGUCCUGAGAGGGAGAUCCCCCACACUGGUACUGAGACAGGGACCAGACUCCUACGGGAGGCAGCAGUGAGGAAUAUUGGUCAAUGGUCGGAAGACUGAACCAGCCAUGCCGCGUGCAGGAAGAAUGCCUUAUGGGUUGUAAACUGCUUUUAUGUGGGAAGAAUAAGGCGUAACGUGUACGUUGAUGACGGUACCAUAUGAAUAAGCAUCGCA